GGGUGAGGUAAUGUGAAAAGGUAAUGUAAAAUUGAGGAAUAAGGAAUGUUACUGAAGAAACAAUAGAAAUUUUUUCUGUUGGGUGGGUGGAGGAGCAGUGCCAACCUAGUUUUGCCCCUGCUAGUUGUUUGUGUUCAUAAAUAUAUCAUUUUACCUAUCUUCCAAGGCACAACCAGGUUCACUGCUGGCACUUGGUGAUUUCUAGUUACAAUGUCAAGUUCAUUUAUUAGCUCUGAUGGUGAAAUAACUUUAAUUUUACCCCCAUAAGUAGCAACUGCAUGCAGGGAUUUGGCGACUGUGUUUUCCAUCUUGCAAAUUUUGCUGUGAAUCUAGUUUAGUUAUCCAUACCAUCCAUACCAUGAACUAUUUGCUAUUCUAAUUAUUGAGGUAAUUUAGACAUCUUCAGUUCUUCACCAUGUUGAAGUGCCCUGGACUAAAGUCU
This 442-nucleotide unclassified non-coding RNA is filed under the name Hevea brasiliensis (rubber tree). The record is from RNAcentral. Lineage: Eukaryota; Viridiplantae; Streptophyta; Magnoliopsida; Malpighiales; Euphorbiaceae.